This 582-nucleotide ribosomal RNA is filed under the name Triticum aestivum (bread wheat). RNAcentral describes it as "partial small subunit ribosomal RNA". Lineage: Eukaryota; Viridiplantae; Streptophyta; Magnoliopsida; Poales; Poaceae. The record is from RNAcentral.
AUGAAUUCAGAGGCUGAUCCACGCAAAGGAAAAACUAUCAUCACAUACAACUCGGAUGCCGGUUCCAGUUCUGUUCCGGCCGUUGUACCCUGGAAACCUCCUACCCAUGGCAAUGUUAAGCUGAAUACGGAUGGAUCAUUCGUGUCAGUUGGAGAGGCUGGUGCGGGUAUGAUCCUCAGGAAUGAGACAGGAGCUAUUAUCUUUUCGGCAUGCAGGAAAUUACAUUCGUGUCAAGAUGCGUUGGAAGCAGAACUCUGUGCGUGCAAGGAGGGUCUCUCGAUUGCUGUUCAGAGGUGUAAUUCACCUAUUACCGUCGAGAUGGAUUCAAUCAAUGCGGUGAACUUAAUUCGCAGUAAGACGACGGAUCGCUCCGUACACGCUCACCUGGUGCAAGAGAUAAAACAGUUAGCUGGUACUGUUAGUGCUUGUAUUACUCACGUCCCCCACUCUUGUAAUGCAGCUAGUGAUAGGCUGGCUUCUUAUGCCAGGACUAGCAAUAGAACGGUGACUUGGUUGGGGUCCGGACCGCUUGAGGUCCUGGAUAUUGUUGGUGAGGAUUGUAAGAACUUUAUAACUGAGUAA